Molecule: non-coding RNA, 425 nt
Filed under: bacterium B17
Lineage: Bacteria
Description: Bacterial small subunit ribosomal RNA
Rfam family: Bacterial small subunit ribosomal RNA
Source: Rfam by way of RNAcentral
GCCACCGCAGGUGAUGAGCCUGCGAGCACUCUAGACAGACUGCCCGUGCAAGCGGGAGGAAGGUGGGGAUGACGUCAAGUCAGUAUGGCCCUUACGCCCUGGGCUGCACACGUGCUACAAUGGCAGGUACAGAAGGAAGCAAUACCGCGAGGUGGAGCAAAUCCUCAAAACCUGCCCCAGUUCGGAUUGGAGUCUGCAACUCGACUCCAUGAAGUCGGAUUCGCUAGUAACGGCGUAUCAGCUACGACGCCGUGAAUACGUUCCCGGGCCUUGUACACACCGCCCGUCACAUCAUGAAAGCUGUCUGCACCCGAAGUCGUUGAUCUAACCCGCAAGGGAGGAAGAUGCCGAAGGUGUGGGUGGUGAUUGGGAUGAAGUCGUAACAAGGUAGCCGUAGGGGAACCUGUGGCUGGAUCACCUCCUUU